Molecule: non-coding RNA, 31 nt
Filed under: Mus musculus (house mouse)
Lineage: Eukaryota; Metazoa; Chordata; Mammalia; Rodentia; Muridae
Source: RNAcentral
UAAAAUGCAGAGAUGAGAAUUACUUCCUAUC